RNAcentral lists this ribosomal RNA (215 nucleotides) under uncultured bacterium. Its description in RNAcentral is "partial 16S ribosomal RNA". It matches the Rfam family "Bacterial small subunit ribosomal RNA", at positions 524 to 730 of the family's 1533-position model. The record is from RNAcentral.
UACGAAGGGGGGCUAGCGUUGCUCGGAAUCACUGGGCGUAAAAGGGUGCGUAGGCGGGGUCUUUUAAGUCAGGGGGUGAAAUCCUGGAGCUCAACUCCAGAACUGCCUUUGAUACUGAGGAUCUUGAGUUCGGGGAGAGGUGAGUGGAACUGCGAGUGUAGAGGUGAAAAUUCGUAGAUAUUCGCAAAGAACACCAGUGGCGAAGGCGGCUCACU